This 492-nucleotide ribosomal RNA is filed under the name uncultured bacterium. RNAcentral's name for it is "partial 16S ribosomal RNA". It matches the Rfam family "Bacterial small subunit ribosomal RNA", at positions 29 to 507 of the family's 1533-position model. The record is from RNAcentral.
AGUGAACGCUGGCGGUAGGCCUAACACAUGCAAGUCGAACGGCAGCACAGUAAGAGCUUGCUCUUACGGGUGGCGAGUGGCGGACGGGUGAGGAAUACAUCGGAAUCUACUUUUUCGUGGGGGAUAACGUAGGGAAACUUACGCUAAUACCGCAUACGACCUACGGGUGAAAGCAGGGGAUCUUCGGACCUUGCGCGAUUGAAUGAGCCGAUGUCGGAUUAGCUAGUUGGCGGGGUAAAGGCCCACCAAGGCGACGAUCCGUAGCUGGUCUGAGAGGAUGAUCGCCCACACUGGAACUGAGACGCGGUCCAGACUCCUACGGGAGGCGGCAGUGGGGAAUUUUGGACAAGGGGCGCAGGCCUGACCCGCCCAUGCCGGGGGGGUAAAAAAGGCUUUGGGUUUGUAAAGCCUUUUUGUGGGAAAAAAAAAGAAGCAGGUUAAUCCCCCGCUGUUCUGACGGUACCAAAAGAAAAAGCCCGGGCUAACUUCGUC